CAAGUGAGGCUACCGAACGCUGGAAACAGCGGUUAGGAGCUUACACCCACCCGUGUUUACAUACUAUUGUUGCUUUGGCGGGCCGUGGCCUCCACUGCGGGCUCUGCUCGUGUGUGCCCGCCAGAGGACCAAACUCUUGUUUUUAGUGAUGUCUGAGUACUAUAUAAUAGUUA
RNAcentral lists this unclassified non-coding RNA (173 nucleotides) under uncultured Acephala. RNAcentral describes it as "sequence contains ITS1". The record is from RNAcentral. Lineage: Eukaryota; Fungi; Ascomycota; Leotiomycetes; Helotiales.